RNAcentral lists this transfer RNA (63 nucleotides) under Anabropsis (Apteranabropsis) sp. QS-2017. RNAcentral describes it as "Apteranabropsis sp. QS-2017 tRNA-Thr". It matches the Rfam family "tRNA". From Rfam's summary of the family: Transfer RNA (tRNA) molecules are approximately 80 nucleotides in length. Their secondary structure includes four short double-helical elements and three loops (D, anti-codon, and T loops). Further hydrogen bonds mediate the characteristic L-shaped molecular structure. tRNAs have two regions of fundamental functional importance: the anti-codon, which is responsible for specific mRNA codon recognition, and the 3' end, to which the tRNAs corresponding amino acid is attached (by aminoacyl-tRNA synthetases). tRNAs cope with the degeneracy of the genetic code in two manners: having more than one tRNA (with a specific anti-codon) for a particular amino acid; and 'wobble' base-pairing, i.e. permitting non-standard base-pairing at the 3rd anti-codon position. The record is from RNAcentral. Lineage: Eukaryota; Metazoa; Arthropoda; Insecta; Orthoptera; Anostostomatidae. RNAcentral also lists the same sequence under 1 other name.
GUUUUAAUAGUUUAAACAAAAUAUUGGUCUUGUAAACCAAAGAUAAGAAAAUCUUUUAAAACU